CAGUAGCCGCGGGAAAACGAAGGGUGCAAGCGUUACUUGGAAUUACUGGGCGUAAAGCGUGCGUAGGUGGUGGUUUAAGUCCGUUGUGAAAGCCCUGGGCUCAACCUGGGAAUUGCAGUGGAUACUGGGUCACUAGAGUGUGGUAGAGGAUAGUGGAAUUUCCGGUGUAGCAGUGAAAUGCGUAGAGAUCGGAAGGAACAUCUGUGGCGAAGGCGACUAUCUGGGCCAACACUGACACUGAGGCACGAAAGCGUGGGGAGCAAACAGGAUUAGAUACCCCUGUAGUCCCUGUCUCUUAUAC
This 301-nucleotide ribosomal RNA is filed under the name uncultured bacterium. Its description in RNAcentral is "partial 16S ribosomal RNA". It matches the Rfam family "Bacterial small subunit ribosomal RNA", at positions 509 to 807 of the family's 1533-position model. The record is from RNAcentral.